GAUGAACGCUGGCGGCGUGCUUAACACAUGCAAGUCGAACGGGAAUUAUUUUAUUGAAACUUCGGUCGAUUUAAUUUAAUUCUAGUGGCGGACGGGUGAGUAACGCGUGGGUAACCUGCCUUAUACAGGGGGAUAACAGUCAGAAAUGGCUGCUAAUACCGCAUAAGCGCACAGAGCUGCAUGGCUCAGUGUGAAAAACUCCGGUGGUAUAAGAUGGACCCGCGUUGGAUUAGCUUGUUGGCAGGGUAACGGCCUACCAAGGCGACGAUCCAUAGCCGGCCUGUGAGGGUGAACGGCCACAUUGGGACUGAGACACGGCCCAGACUCCUACGGGAGGCAGCAGUGGGGAAUAUUGCACAAUGGGGGAAACCCUGAUGCAGCGACGCCGCGUGAAGGAAGAAGUAUCUCGGUAUGUAAACUUCUAUCAGCAGGGAAGAUAGUGACGGUACCUGACUAAGAAGCCCCGGCUAACUACGUG
This 478-nucleotide ribosomal RNA is filed under the name uncultured bacterium. RNAcentral describes it as "partial 16S ribosomal RNA". It matches the Rfam family "Bacterial small subunit ribosomal RNA", at positions 28 to 507 of the family's 1533-position model. The record is from RNAcentral.